Molecule: ribosomal RNA, 376 nt
Filed under: uncultured bacterium
Lineage: Bacteria
Description: bacterial SSU rRNA
Rfam family: Bacterial small subunit ribosomal RNA
Source: RNAcentral
UACGUAGGGUGCGAGCGUUAAUCGGAAUUACUGGGCGUAAAGCGUGCGCAGGCGGUUUCGUAAGACAGAGGUGAAAUCCCCGGGCUCAACCUGGGAACUGCCUUUGUGACUGCGAGGCUAGAGUAUGGCAGAGGGGGGUGGAAUUCCACGUGUAGCAGUGAAAUGCGUAGAGAUGUGGAGGAACACCGAUGGCGAAGGCAGCCCCCUGGGCCAAUACUGACGCUCAUGCACGAAAGCGUGGGGAGCAAACAGGAUUAGAUACCCUGGUAGUCCACGCCCUAAACGAUGUCAACUAGGUGUUGGGAGGGUUAAACCUUUUAGUACCGUAGCUAACGCGUGAAGUUGACCGCCUGGGGAGUACGGCCGCAAGGUUAAA